RNAcentral lists this ribosomal RNA (1751 nucleotides) under Escherichia coli. RNAcentral's name for it is "partial 23S ribosomal RNA". It matches the Rfam family "Bacterial large subunit ribosomal RNA", at positions 1064 to 2798 of the family's 2925-position model. Lineage: Bacteria; Pseudomonadati; Pseudomonadota; Gammaproteobacteria; Enterobacterales; Enterobacteriaceae. The record is from RNAcentral.
UGGGAAACGAUGUGGGAAGGCCCAGACAGCCAGGAUGUUGGCUUAGAAGCAGCCAUCAUUUAAAGAAAGCGUAAUAGCUCACUGGUCGAGUCGGCCUGCGCGGAAGAUGUAACGGGGCUAAACCAUGCACCGAAGCUGCGGCAGCGACACUAUGUGUUGUUGGGUAGGGGAGCGUUCUGUAAGCCUGUGAAGGUGUGCUGUGAGGCAUGCUGGAGGUAUCAGAAGUGCGAAUGCUGACAUAAGUAACGAUAAAGCGGGUGAAAAGCCCGCUCGCCGGAAGACCAAGGGUUCCUGUCCAACGUUAAUCGGGGCAGGGUGAGUCGACCCCUAAGGCGAGGCCGAAAGGCGUAGUCGAUGGGAAACAGGUUAAUAUUCCUGUACUUGGUGUUACUGCGAAGGGGGGACGGAGAAGGCUAUGUUGGCCGGGCGACGGUUGUCCCGGUUUAAGCGUGUAGGCUGGUUUUCCAGGCAAAUCCGGAAAAUCAAGGCUGAGGCGUGAUGACGAGGCACUACGGUGCUGAAGCAACAAAUGCCCUGCUUCCAGGAAAAGCCUCUAAGCAUCAGGUAACAUCAAAUCGUACCCCAAACCGACACAGGUGGUCAGGUAGAGAAUACCAAGGCGCUUGAGAGAACUCGGGUGAAGGAACUAGGCAAAAUGGUGCCGUAACUUCGGGAGAAGGCACGCUGAUAUGUAGGUGAAGUCCCUCGCGGAUGGAGCUGAAAUCAGUCGAAGAUACCAGCUGGCUGCAACUGUUUAUUAAAAACACAGCACUGUGCAAACACGAAAGUGGACGUAUACGGUGUGACGCCUGCCCGGUGCCGGAAGGUUAAUUGAUGGGGUUAGCCGCAAGGCGAAGCUCUUGAUCGAAGCCCCGGUAAACGGCGGCCGUAACUAUAACGGUCCUAAGGUAGCGAAAUUCCUUGUCGGGUAAGUUCCGACCUGCACGAAUGGCGUAAUGAUGGCCAGGCUGUCUCCACCCGAGACUCAGUGAAAUUGAACUCGCUGUGAAGAUGCAGUGUACCCGCGGCAAGACGGAAAGACCCCGUGAACCUUUACUAUAGCUUGACACUGAACAUUGAGCCUUGAUGUGUAGGAUAGGUGGGAGGCUUAGAAGUGUGGACGCCAGUCUGCAUGGAGCCGACCUUGAAAUACCACCCUUUAAUGUUUGAUGUUCUAACGUUGACCCGUAAUCCGGGUUGCGGACAGUGUCUGGUGGGUAGUUUGACUGGGGCGGUCUCCUCCUAAAGAGUAACGGAGGAGCACGAAGGUUGGCUAAUCCUGGUCGGACAUCAGGAGGUUAGUGCAAUGGCAUAAGCCAGCUUGACUGCGAGCGUGACGGCGCGAGCAGGUGCGAAAGCAGGUCAUAGUGAUCCGGUGGUUCUGAAUGGAAGGGCCAUCGCUCAACGGAUAAAAGGUACUCCGGGGAUAACAGGCUGAUACCGCCCAAGAGUUCAUAUCGACGGCGGUGUUUGGCACCUCGAUGUCGGCUCAUCACAUCCUGGGGCUGAAGUAGGUCCCAAGGGUAUGGCUGUUCGCCAUUUAAAGUGGUACGCGAGCUGGGUUUAGAACGUCGUGAGACAGUUCGGUCCCUAUCUGCCGUGGGCGCUGGAGAACUGAGGGGGGCUGCUCCUAGUACGAGAGGACCGGAGUGGACGCAUCACUGGUGUUCGGGUUGUCAUGCCAAUGGCACUGCCCGGUAGCUAAAUGCGGAAGAGAUAAGUGCUGAAAGCAUCUAAGCACGAAACUUGCC